ACACAGUCCGACGCGGUACGGUCGCGAAGCCGGUGCGAUUCCGGCACAGUCCCGCUACGGUGACCGCCCCUCCGGGGCGGAAGUCCGGUCGCCGACCUGCCGUCGCCGCUCGAGCCUUCGAGAGAAAGGUCAGGCGCAC
RNAcentral lists this small RNA (139 nucleotides) under Chloroflexota bacterium. The record is from RNAcentral. Lineage: Bacteria; Bacillati; Chloroflexota.